CAUGGCCAAGGAGACUGCCAUGAAUCCACAUGCAUCUGCCUUCAAUCCUUCGUCUUUUGGAGCAUCGUCUUUUCACACUUUCUACAUCAUUAAACCUGUGGACAAAGAGUAAUGGUCUUCAGAGUCUUGAUGGAAGAAAAGUGUUGAACCUUGCUGCCGGUUCCUCUUCUGUGCAGUGUGAAGAGGGAAAGACAGUACAAAUAUACAUUCCAACUAACCAUGUUUUACAUAUCUGGCCAAAAACCAGACACACGUGUAGUAUGCCAAAAGUGAAAGACAACAGAAGUCGUUGGUGUUCAAACAUCCACGAUGUCCUAUAACUAAACAACAGCUGGUUAUAAGCUAACAUUAUGCCAGCUAAUGUUAGACUCAAGUGUCCUAAAGAUCACAGAUUCCCUGUGAUAAAGAGUUUGGUUAUGUUCUGACAUGAUAUGAGAGUUUAUUCACUAAGUAUUAAAAGACAACAAUGUUAGAUAAACUUCAAAGUCAUUAAUUGAUGCAGGCUAGCAGCAGCUAACAGAGGCUAGCAGCAGCUAACAGAGACUAGCAGCAGCUUACCAAGAGAAAAGUUUAGGCUAUGCUCGAUAACUCACCGCAGUAUCAAUGUCACUGGACAGAAGUGAGCUUCAGUGACUCUUCGGCUCAUAUUAGACUCCUUUCCCAGUUUUACAGCCGUCCCCAGAGUAAAUAAAGGAGGACAUGUGUCACCCGGCAUUGUCAGCUGAGGUAAACAGUAGCCUGACAGCCUUGCAGAGCUAUGGAAAAACUUUGGAUCCAGUCCAGAGUCACUUUGCUAUUUAAGUGCACUUACUACAGAUGAAGGCUUGUCAGGCACACUGGGGUGAAAAAUGUAAAAUACUGCAAAAUGUGUAACUGACCAUUAAUGGAGCGGAUCCAUGUCUUAUUUCCUGAUUUAGUUGUGCUGAUAUUAUUCAAACAGUAGGAGAAACCAGCAAGUACAGUCUGUAUUUACUACCCUUGAUCUUUCUUGACUGACUAAAACUUGUUUGUCCUAUAGCAGUCACCGUAGUGAGGAUUAUUCACUUGAAUUGGGAGGUCUUUCUGUCUGUCUUCAUGCUGUUUUAUUACUGCCUUUAUGCACCAAAGUCUCUUUGAAGAUGGCAACUGACCAUGACACAGGAAUUAUACUUCUAUAUCAGAGAUAUGUUGCAUUCAAUUCAAUUUUAUUUAUUAAGCACCAAAUGAAAACAACAGCUACAUCUAGCUGCUUUUGCCAUGUUGUAACUCAGAGAUUCCCAAAGUGUGGGGCCCGCCCCCCCAGCCAUUGCGGGGGGGGGGGGGGGGGGGGUAUGAAAAGGGGAAGAAAAAACAAACAAACAAACGCUUGGACACUGCUAGCACGGGGCGCCCACACAAACGCAAAGCAGGAGAUGAAGCUGAAUAUGUUUCCAAACCAACUUCAUUCUAAGCUAAAGACUAGAAAAUAUAAUGAAGCAAAUCUUCCCUUUGGCUUCACCUGCACAAGUGCCGAGGUCGGUCUCCCUGCAGGAUUGCUUUUCCUUUCGUCAGGAGCAGCUCUGGGCUCUUCAAAUCCCAGACAAACUGUAUUCCACAUGCUUGAUUUUUAGUUCACAAACACUUGUCGUAAUGACUAACUACUCCUGACAUGUUGGAGAUGUUUGCUCUUUAUACAGUAAAGUUACAGCGGAAUACAAAUAACAUCAGGCUGAUCCUGCCACGAUUUGUUCCCCCGGUUCAAAUCAGACAAACAGUAUUCUACAGCUGUUUAUGUUUUUGAACCCAUUUUGCACAGAGAGGCAUUUUUUAAAAAUGUAUUGACAGCAAUGUUGAACAUUAUUACACAGGAAAAAACAACUACACGUAAAAUAAUCACACCGUGACGCCUCUGCCUUUCUAAAUGGAGGGACAGUAACUGCGUGUGUAUGUAAGCGUGUAAAACUGAAGAUAGAGACAAAAUACUGUUAAUUUUUCUGCUAUUCUGCAAUUCAUCUCAUGUAAACAAUAACGUGGCGCACAGCGUGACGUGAAAAAAGGCACAUACCUUCAACGUUGCGUGACGAACUCUGUAUUCCUCGUCCACACGUAAACGCAAAAGAGGAGUUUUAAAAACCAGCACUGCGCGAACAUUUUUCUUGUAAAACAAAGGGGGGGGGGGGGGCUAGCAAAAAAGGUUUGGGAACCACUGUUGUAACUUAUGCCACAACUGAAACCCCAUUUUAACCCUACACAUCAUCCUUCUACGUAACCUGACGUGCAGCUCCUGAUAAAUUUAAGUACACAUCGGGUCCACAAUGACAUGAAUGCUGCGGAAGGUUGCGGUGUACGGAUAAAAGGCAUUUCCAGUUACGACAGCAUCAGGCUUGGCCAACUCCAGGCCUCGAGGGCUGGUGUCCUGCAGGUUUUAGAUCACCCUGGGUCAGCACACCUGAAUCACAUGAUUAGUUCAUUACCAGGCCUCUGGAGAACUUCAAGAUCAUUUAGCCAUUUGAAUCAUCUGUGAUGGAUCAAGGACACAUCUAAACCCUGCAGGACACCGGCCCUCGAGGCCUGGGUUUGGACACCACUGGUCUAAAUCAAGUUUAAGUGAUCACAGACAAAGUCCCUGUUUUCAAAACAACUAUUGCAACUUUAAUGCACACAGUCGAGGGAUUUUGCUGCAGUCUCCAACUGCUGCUCUUUAUAAUGUGACUGUGGCAUAAGCCAACAAGGAGUCUUGCAAACACAGAAGCACAAAUGUACAUUUGCUUCAGGAGUGACAGUGAAUGCAUCACAGCACAGUCGAGAAACAAACCAUUAAUAAAAUAAAAACUCACUUUUUACUCUCUAACAUGCACACACACACACACACACACAGAGACUGCAAACGUCCUGAGGGGGCGAUAGAGGAGGCCGAUCUUUCAUUAGUGGGGCAACACGCCUGAUUAAACUCCUCGUGGCCACACACACACACACACACACUCACACACACAACACUGAGCUGGACUGAUCAAUGAUUAAUGAUUGGACCUGCAGGGAGAGAGAGCAGAAGGCUCCUGUGAUGUGUAGUGAAACAAAUAAGUGUGUGUGCAUCUAAAGAAAGACACAAUGAGGGAGGAAGGAAGGUUCAGUGGUGUGAAAUGAGACAAAUGAGUGUGUCGGGGGCUUUGUGUAUGUGUGUGUUCACUGUAGUGUGAGGCUGUUCUUCCAUAGGUGUUUGGCUAUUGAUCUGCGCUUGUUUUCUGUGUGUGUGUUGGUGGUUCCUGUGUAAUCACAGUAUCAAAGCAUUUUUGUCACUCCUGACACACACCGAGCCGGCGGCCGUCGUGUGUGGACGACCGUCACCUGUAGCGCUUCCUGUGUGGCUCUGUCAGCAUGUCAAAUUGCACCUCUUUGAUUGGCUCCCUUUUCUUUCUUUUUCAUCUUUUGUGCAGCCGAAACUUUGUAGUCAUGUUUGUUAUAUGAGACAGAUGACACACACAGAACAUGGUCGGCUGGUUCGGCUUGUUUCCUUCUUUCUUAGUUCUGUCUCCUCGUUCAGUCCGACAUCUUUAGAUGUUUCCAGCUCCGAACGCUUCUUCGGUUCAAAAUCAAAACUUCAAAUUGGUCAAAAUUCCUGAAAUAAAAGAUCACUGUUCUCUCCACAGCUGUUACAAUAAUGUGUAGACGACGGUUAGUGACAUACAGUUAUGGUCAGAAGUUUAAUGACUUUAAAAAAAACACGAAAUAGGUGCACAAGUUUAAAUUUUUCUACAGGGUCUACAGGAACAACACAGGUUCAAAGGUAACAUAGAGGCUCAAAUAUACCAACAUUUGGUUAAAUUACACCUCGAUCAGACAGUUUUGGUUUCCAUCAACAAGUUUCUGGCAUUUUCUUGGUGGAUAUUUGAUUUUUAGAAUUGAUUUUAAUUAGUUGGUUUAUUGUCACUGUUUAGGUACAGUCUUAAAGGGCUUAGUAUAAGUACUUAAGUAUAAGUAUAAAAAAAGAAAAAUGACUACUCCAUGUGAAUGCUCACUGUUUUUAACGUGCUUUAUAAAUAAAGUUGGCUUGGCUGUUCUCCAUCUAGCCAUUGAUUUGAGGUGAAGUUAAAGAAUUUGGAGGUGGUCCUUCUUCUUCUUCUGCCAGUGUCACCAGUACCAAAACAGCCCCCGAACACGAUGCUUCCACCACCAUGCUUGGUACAGUAGUUUUAUCUGACUGUACAAAACUUUACCAAAAGACAGUUUGGCAAGUUCUAGAAGAAGAGCCAAGUUACUUGGAUGACACACUAGAAUACAUACAUAUUGUUCUUACGUAAAAUUGUUUGUUUCACAAAUGUGAAUUGUUUGAUUUUGGGAUCUGCAGUUGUUUAGAAAUGGCUCCAAGAGAGCUUCCACACUUCGACAGUUCUGAUCUCCACUGAGUUACUUGGACUUUUAAACUGUUCUGAGUAUUCAUCAGUCCAACGAGUGCUGCCAUUUUUAUGCUGCAAAGAGAAACUACCAAUGUUAGUCAAUCACGGUCAAAGAUACUGUAGAACCUUCAGCAUGACGUGAAAAAAAAUUCAUUAAAGGCCCAGAAUGACUCUGACCUUCAUGCCGAUGGUUGGACAGAAAUGUCUGACCACAACUGAAAUCCUGCUUUGUAGGGUGUGACUCAGAAGUGAUGUGCCAAUCUAUGAGAACAGUGUUCACACUAAAUCAAACCAGUUACUGUGAUAGGCAGGAGGGGACCUUCAAGACCUUUAAUUCCAUUAAUGCUCAUUGAAACUGAGUCUUGGGAUUAAACAUGUCCAGUCAGCUUUCUCACUGAACACGUGUUAACAGACCUCUCUGCACUGAAUCAUAUCUGUUAUUAACCUCUGUCUCUCUUCCACAGCAUGUCUUUAUCCUGUCUUCCUUCUCUCACCCCAACCAAUCACAGCAGAUGGCCCCGCCCCUCCCUGAGCAUGGUUCUGCCGGAGGUUUCUUCCUGUUAAAAGGGAGUUUUUCCUUCCCACUGUCGCCAAAGUGCUGCUCAUAGGGGGUCAUAUGAUUGUUGGGUUUUCUCUGUGUGUAUUAUUGUAGCGUCUACCUUACAAUAUAAAGCACCUUGAGGUGGCUGUUGUUGUGAUUUGGUGCUAUAUAAAUAAAACUGAAUUGAAUUGAGAAUUAAA
Astatotilapia calliptera (eastern happy) is the source of this 5093-nucleotide long non-coding RNA. The record is from Ensembl. NCBI's taxonomy places the organism in Eukaryota, Metazoa, Chordata, Actinopteri, Cichliformes, Cichlidae.